Aphanomyces invadans is the source of this 184-nucleotide non-coding RNA. Lineage: Eukaryota; Oomycota; Saprolegniomycetes; Saprolegniales; Verrucalvaceae. The record is from Rfam.
GGUUGCGAUUGUUUAAUAAAGACACAGGACUGUGCUAAAUCGUAAGAUGACAUAUGGGGUCGGGUGCUGGAAGAUUCAAAGGAGAGGUUUGCACGUUGAAUGCAAGUCCCAGUAAACGGCGACCGCAUCUCUGACGGUCCUAAGGAAGCGAUUUUCCUUGUCAGGCUUACAGGUGUCGUUUGCC